Molecule: long non-coding RNA, 3589 nt
Filed under: Sus scrofa (pig)
Lineage: Eukaryota; Metazoa; Chordata; Mammalia; Artiodactyla; Suidae
Description: lncRNA (ENSSSCG00000061179.1)
Source: RNAcentral
GGUGACAUCUGCACCCUUAGGACAGAACCCACCCUCCCGCCCUCAGUGGUCUGUCUACACUGUGUGAGACCCUUAUCUGAGAGCAGGAACGACCCUCCCAUCUCGGUUUUCACCUGUACUCUGGUGUGCAGACCUAGCUGGAUGCUUUCCACGGUGGGUCAGCUGUUCCUGCGCAGUGGUUCCCCCUGACCCCUGCUGUGCCUGGUCACCUGUUGCGGAGCGGUAGUGGGGUCCACCUGCAUCUGCUCCCGCCUCCUGGGAGAUGGUUGCGUGUGCAUGUGCCUGCGUGCAUGUGCGUGUGUGUAGGCUGUGGUGCCCAUUGUCCCUGGCCCAGAGCUCGUGUAACCUCUGAUGGGGCAGGUCUCUCCCUCCCCAGCCAUACAGGUGUUCAGUCCAGAAGCUGGACCUCAACCGGCUUAGAGAGUGGAGUCACCCUUGGUCUUGGCAUGGGUUUUGGGAACCUGCCCUGAGCCACCCUUGGUCUUGACGUCAGUUUUGGGAACCUGCCCGGAGCCACAUCCUCCUUCCAGGGUGUUCCAGGGUGUGGGGGGUGCACCAGCCCCUGGCUUCUGGGACCUCCUAGUGGUCAGCUGGGCCACAGAGGAGCCUGAAUCUGCCCCUCCAACACCACCUGGCCAGCGCUGUGAGACCAGUGGUCCCUGGUCCCUACUGGGGGGACUCACCGUCAGGCUCUGAGCCUCCCUGGGCGCCGCUGGCCAUCCCCCUUGACCUCAGCUCUGCCCCUGCCAUUGCCAGGCCUUGGAGGGGUAGGUGCAGGGAGUGCAGGCCUGGGUUCAGGUAGAGCUGCUCUGGACCUGCAGCACCACCACCCCCAAAAAGACUGCGCCCCUGUAGGUGUGGGAACCACAACGUGCACCAGGCCAGUAGGAAGCAGAAACUGCAGAGCACCAGGUCCUCUGGAGUGGGGAGAGGGUGGCACCAUGGACUGGCAUGGAGGGGGCAGCCUCCUCUGAGCCCCGUGUCCAGGGGUCAGGGGUGUCCCGGAGUCAGCAGCCAGAACUCUCGCCCCCUCCCCACUCCCGUCCCAUGUGCACCUACUUCCUGGGGCCGCGGAUCUGCCUACCACCCCUGCAGGAGGUGCAGUGCCGGGAUCCCGCCCAUGCGUGUCUAGAGUACCCGGCCCGACACGUCCUCUCCUGGGACCUUCUGCCAGCGAUCGCGGGGCGUCCCAGGGCGGGACCACCCCCCACUGGGGGGCGGGGUAGUUCUUGCGACCGGCACUAACCCGGAGGGACAGCCCCCUUCCCCUCCCCGGCCUCUGGCAGUAAUUACACCCGGCUUGCCCGCAAUAGCAGGGACCUGGGAGGGUUAAUAUCCGAACCACGCGGUGGUUCCGAACCCCGCCCCGCGGUUCUCCCCAACUCCCACCCCCUUCCAGGUUCCUCCCACCCUCCCCCACCCCUUAGGUCUCCGGCCACCUGGCUCCUCCUCCAGCCCCACGUUGUCCUGCGGCGCCCCCGUGUGGCCGCUAAUGGGACGAGCAGUCCUGUGAUGAGGGCGCCGGAAAGGCAUCGCUGUUUAACGUUUAAUUGUGUUGUUAUCAUUGGUUUUUUGUUCCUUUGUUUAUUUUGGCCGCACCCAGGCGUGGGGAAGUUUCUGCUCUAGGGAUAGAACUGGUGCGGUAGUUGCAGCAAAGCUGGUCCUUAACCCUCUGUGCCACAGGGGAACUUUCUUAAUUCUACUGUCUAAUCAGUAAAACCCAACCAACCCCACCCAUCCUCAGCAUCACUAGCAUUGUUUUCACCACUAGUUUAAUUAUAUUUAAUUACUUAACAAUUAAUCCAUCCAUAAGAUGAGAGCUCAGGCAAUAUGCACUCUGAUCUGUGCAUAGCCUCAGGAAACUUCAGGCUCAUGGGCACACGUUCAAAUGUCAAGGGCGAGCCUGGGCAGGUGGCACCCAAGCCCCUUGUGUAGCCUGAAGGACCAGGUUGGGUCUAGUUAAAUAGACCCAUGUUGCAAAGGCUACUUUUGUCUGGAAGUUCUCCAAGAGGACUGUGAUCAGAGAGGUUUUAAAUGUAAUUACUAGUCACACCCAAAGUGUGACCAGUUUCCUGAUUUCUUGCCCUCUGGAAGGUGGCCACAGGGACACAAACCCCUCCUCUCCUCAGGCUGGGGGGAGGGGUGGGGGAGGGGCACGCCUGUUUCCAGGGCAGCUUCCCGGGGACCACAGGCUAGGCUGGGCCAAGGGGCUUCCUCUAGUUGAGACUUAUUAGCUGGUGCCCCCCCGGGGAUACAGGAGGGUGGGUGGAUUUUCAACAAGACACCCUGUCGCGUGGCCGCGCCUGCCCUGCAGGUAUGGCAGGUUGAUGGGGACCCACCGGGUCUGCACCCACUGGCAUCCUGAUCACCAACUAUCCCAUCUCAAGAGCUUUUCAUCCCCUUUUCUCUUAGUUGAAAGAUCAGAGGACAGUUUGUUGACUCUGAUGAAAUGAAAAUCAUAUUUCAUGGCAAGGAGAGAAAAAUUUAAGCAUAAACUUUUUCCUUGCCCGUUUAGGCCUCCUCCCUCCCCUUCAGCGUGUGCUGUGCAUGUGUACAGACCAGACCUCCUCAGGAGAAGCCUUCCUGCUUGAUCUCGCAAAAGGCGCGAGCACCCCUGACCCCCGGUGACCUGUCCCCACCAGUCCCCAUAUACGUGUGGAUGUGGACUUUGUAACUGUCGUGAGUCCAUCAUUUGACUAUAACUCUUUACCUCAAAAACGUUCAAAACUGUGCUCUGACCUCUAAGGGGCAGGACAGAGCUUUCUGACUGUCCACCGUGUGGUAAUCCUCAAGCUGCUUCCCAUAAACUUUUCCAUUCUUUCUCAGAUCCACUAUUAAUUUUUCAUCAACACUCAGGAAACACAUCUGUUUCAUAGUCUAGAUGUUCUCAUCCACAAGGGCAGACUGGCAUUCCCUUCUAGAAAGGUCUACAGCUCUAGUGAGAGAGGGCCUGGUGAGGGUGGGGUCACAGCCAGGGCAGUGGUGAGGGCCCCCCUCAUCAUCAGGGCGGAUCUCCACCUUGAGUGGGCCUGGGGCUUCUGCUGUUUUAUCUCCUGAAGUUUCUUCUCUGUCGUCCAGCAGUGUUGCAAUCUUUACAUAACUACAAAAUGGGCUCUGGGGUGUGGUUUUGAACAAAGUACUGGCAGGAGUUCCCGUCGUGGCUCAGCAGUAAUGAACCUGACUAGUAUCCAUGAGGAUGAGGAUCUGAUCCCUGGCCUCACGCAGUGAGUUAAGAAUCCAGCGUUGCCAUGAGCUGUGGUGUAGGUCACAGAUGCGGCUUGGAUCCCAAGUUGCUGUGGCUCUGGCGUAGGCCGGCAGCUGCAGCUCUGAUUCAACCCCUAGCCUGGGAACCUCCAUAUGCUGCGGGUGCAGCCAAAAAACAAACAAACAAACAAACAAAAUUACUGCUAUAAAACGCUAACCACCAUCUGAACUGCUAGCAAAUCAUAACCUUUUUGCAGGUGGAGGUGCCUCUGUGUCGGUGGCGGCUGACUGACCAGGGAAGUGGCUGCUGAAGAUUGGGUCACAGCGGCAAUUUCUUAAAAAGACAGCAAUGAAGUUGGCUGUAUCAAUAAACUCUUCCUUUCAU